ACACUUAACAUGGCAGAGGAGAUAUCAUAAUCACAAGGGUGGUUUCCCCAGGGCAAGGCUUUUCCAUCCAUUGCAUUCCAGAUGUGCUCACCUCUGUGAUGUCCCCACAUGUGGAAACCUGGACUGCAUAAUUUGUAGUAGCGGGGGACUGCAUUAAUACCUUCCUCUG
Molecule: small nuclear RNA, 169 nt
Organism: Nomascus leucogenys (northern white-cheeked gibbon)
Lineage: Eukaryota; Metazoa; Chordata; Mammalia; Primates; Hylobatidae
Gene: U1
Rfam family: U1 spliceosomal RNA
About the family: U1 is a small nuclear RNA (snRNA) component of the spliceosome (involved in pre-mRNA splicing).
Source: Ensembl